RNAcentral lists this small RNA (126 nucleotides) under Marmota monax (woodchuck). The record is from RNAcentral. Lineage: Eukaryota; Metazoa; Chordata; Mammalia; Rodentia; Sciuridae.
GCUGGGUGUGGUGGCGCACACCUGUAAUCCUAGUGGAGGCUAAGGCAGGAGGAUUGGUACAUACCUGUAAUCACAGCAAUCCAGGAGGCUAAGGCAGGAGGACUGGGAGUUCAAAGCCAGCCUCAG